Molecule: long non-coding RNA, 1443 nt
Filed under: Pseudonaja textilis
Lineage: Eukaryota; Metazoa; Chordata; Lepidosauria; Squamata; Elapidae
Description: lncRNA (ENSPTXG00000017203.1)
Source: RNAcentral
AACAAUUACUAUUUGCAAAGUUUGCUUUCAAAUCUGUAUGAAAAGCUAAAGACCAGCUCUUGCUCCUUAAAAUGCUAGGCCUCUUUUCUCACUGUUAAUAGUUUAAAUAAUAUCCUAACCUAUUUAAAUUACCUGGAAUUGACUGUCUUAUCUGUUUUGUUCAUUUCUUUAGGAGAUGUAAAAGAAAGCAUUAAAAAGGAAGUUGCAUUUACUGCUUCUGCUGUUGGUGAAUCAGAUAUGCAGUCCAGAGAAAAUAGAACUAAUCAAUCUAGAGACCGAGAACUUGAAAGAAAGCACCUUCACCUUGAGCCCUCUGUUCUGAGUGUGAGCACAAUUGCAUCUGCGAUUGCAAAUGCUUCUGUUAGUGCUGAACCAUCACAGCUAGCUGCUUUGAUGAUGGCACUUUCCAACAAAAAUAAAGAAGGAAUGAAUGUUCCAGAAGGUGACAAGCUCACAGACUUCUCAGUUGUCAAUCAGUUAUUAUCGAGCAAUAUAGAAAAUAGUACAUUUGAUAUAGAAAAAUAUCUCAGAAGAGCUGAAGAAGUUGAAGGUAACAAUGAACAAGAAAACCUGAUUAAACAUGAAGGAGCCAUCAUAGAUGGGCACAAAUUUUUGUCCAUGCAUGAAUCCAAAACUUCAUCUAAAAGCAAUUUCAAUACCAGCCAUGGAAAAGAGAAGCAGCAUCUGGAAAAAAUAUAUGAGGGAAACUGCGUUGGAAGAUUGCACUGUAGUAUUUCUUCUGAGCAGAAAACAGAAGUGGAAUCUGUGCAGACAUCUAAUACAGCUGAAUAUUUUCCAUCAAAAAAGCAGACUUCAUUACAAAAUUCAAAAGAGCAGCCACCUGAAUAUGCUGGAGUAUCUUCAGAGACCAACUUGCCAUCAAUCCCAACCAAUUCUAAAUCAGAAGAAAGAGCUAACAUGAGCACCCUUCCCUUCGAUUUAAAGGUUAUUCCAAUAUUGGUUCCUCCUAUUUCUAACAAUGAAAAAGCUACAAAUAAAGAGAAUAGUACAUGCUAUAAUGAAAAACAUGUGACUUUUGAAAACAUACAUGUUGAUAAUCAGACUAUUGUGGGUGAAGCUGUUGGAAGAAUUGAACCAAAGCUUAUGAUGUCAACACCUGGUGUACAAAUUUCAGAUGAACAGUAUAGCUUCAGACCUUCAACUUCCCCAUUGACUCAUUCAUCUCCAAGUGAAGCUUCAGGAGCUACCUUUACAGGGUCUGUCUGUCCUUCUACAUCACCCAACUUUAAGGAAUCAACUUGCAAUGACAAUACGUUACCACAAUCAAUAUACUCUGAUCUUAGCUUAGAACAUUUGACUUUUGUUUCUGCCACUGAAAACACAUGUAAAAGUCCAUUGAGUCCAACAAGAUACAAAGUAAGUACUUUGUUAAAUGCUAAUGUUUAUUUAUAUACUGACUUUAAGGUUUUACUUACCUUUCAG